GUCGGCUAUGGCGAUAUGGCGCCGAAAACGUACGUCGGCAUGUUCGUCGGGGCGCUCUGUGCUCUGGCAGGCGUGUUAACAAUCGCCCUUCCGGUGCCGGUCAUCGUUAGCAAC
Non-coding RNA from Anopheles atroparvus, 114 nucleotides. Lineage: Eukaryota; Metazoa; Arthropoda; Insecta; Diptera; Culicidae. The record is from Rfam.